RNAcentral lists this long non-coding RNA (344 nucleotides) under Ovis aries (sheep). RNAcentral's name for it is "lncRNA (ENSOARG00000025838.1)". The record is from RNAcentral. Lineage: Eukaryota; Metazoa; Chordata; Mammalia; Artiodactyla; Bovidae.
AUGACAGACUUACUGGAUAUUAGAAUUAGUAAAAGAUCUUAUCAAGCAGGUAGUCAAUUCAAGCUCCUGGAUCACAGUCAUACAUACCUCUUUCACUUAUUCCAAGUGUUAAUUAGCACCUACUGUGUGUAAGCAUUUUUCCAGACACAGUGGAAGAUAACAAAGAAAAGUUAGAAGUGAUCCCUGCUCUCAAAGAGUUUAUAGUCUGAUAGGGAGGACAAGAUGUACGUGCAUUAUGUACACUAUGUCGUUUGAAAAGAGUUGAGUGCUGAAGAAUUGAUGCCUUUGAACUGUGGCUCUGGAGAAGACUCUUGAGAGUCCCUUGGACUGCAAGGAGAUCAAAC